This 239-nucleotide long non-coding RNA is filed under the name Lathyrus oleraceus (garden pea). RNAcentral's name for it is "Pisum sativum (pea) long non-coding RNA (PSAT_LNC010791)". Lineage: Eukaryota; Viridiplantae; Streptophyta; Magnoliopsida; Fabales; Fabaceae. The record is from RNAcentral.
AACAACGAUUCCUAGCAACGACUAGAAUACCUGACUCUUCUAGAGAGAACUUGAGAGGAAACAAAGUAGUUCAGUGAUGAUUCCUAGAAAUGGAAGGAAUACCUGACCCUACUUUGCGAGAAAUCUUGGGAAUGAAAGUCGACUUUACUGGGGAAAAUCCCUAACAACGGUUGGAAAGUUCCAAAAUCUGAUAGGGACCAAAUCUUAGCAACAACUAAGGAAGUCAAAAUUUGAUGAAU